Zophobas morio is the source of this 210-nucleotide long non-coding RNA. RefSeq lists it as uncharacterized. The transcript has 3 exons. Lineage: Eukaryota; Metazoa; Arthropoda; Insecta; Coleoptera; Tenebrionidae. The record is from RefSeq and is a predicted model, not a curated record.
GAUUUUCGACAUGACGUACAGUAAUGGAGUCCGUCGGGAAAUUUGGUACUUUAAUAUUUUCUCAAAAUUUGAUAGUUGGGGAGACUUACAAUGCAUCUAUCCAAACUGAUGGACCGUCCUUGCAAAAAUGUGGAUGACAUCAAGACAAAAUUUUCUAAUAGAAAAACUCAGUUGUAACAAACGUUAAGACAAUAAAAUUCGCAAAAUCAA